Molecule: ribosomal RNA, 253 nt
Filed under: uncultured bacterium
Lineage: Bacteria
Description: partial 16S ribosomal RNA
Rfam family: Bacterial small subunit ribosomal RNA
Source: RNAcentral
UACGUAGGUGGCAAGCGUUGUCCGGAAUUAUUGGGCGUAAAGCGCGCGCAGGUGGUUCCUUAAGUCUGAUGUGAAAGCCCACGGCUCAACCGUGGAGGGUCAUUGGAAACUGGGGAACUUGAGUGCAGGAGAGAAGAGUGGAAUUCCACGUGUAGCGGUGAAAUGCGUAGAGAUGUGGAGGAACACCAGUGGCGAAGGCGACUCUUUGGUCUGUAACUGACGCUGAGGCGCGAAAGCGUGGGGAGCAAACAGG